Molecule: ribosomal RNA, 255 nt
Filed under: uncultured bacterium
Lineage: Bacteria
Description: partial 16S ribosomal RNA
Rfam family: Bacterial small subunit ribosomal RNA
Source: RNAcentral
UACGAAGGGGGGCUAGCGUUGCUCGGAUUUACUGGGCGUAAAGGGCGCGUAGGCGGCAAUUCAAGUCAUCUGUGAAAUCUCCGGGCUUAACCCGGAACGGUCAGGUGAUACUGUUUUGCUAGAGUGCGGAAGGGGCAAUCGGAAUUCUCGGUGUAGCGGUGAAAUGCGUAGAUAUCGAGAGGAACACCAGAGGUGAAGACGGGUUGCUGGGCCGACACUGACGCUGACAGCGCGAAAGCCAGGGGAGCAAACGGG